ACUCUGAGAGAGAGUUAAAGGAGGACGUGAAACCGCUGGGAUGGAAACGAAUAGAGUUGACGAAACCAACCGUCAUUCAACCGAUCAGCUCAGCGGUCUCUUUGCUCUUGUGUACCUUGAUUUCACAUGCAUAUCUCUCUUUCAUGUGAGCUAUGUAAUGUAUCAAUGGACAUGUGCAAGAGGUGCUGUUGAGUAGUUUUCAAAUAUGCCUGUGUGAUCGGUGCAUUUGAUGGUGGUACGCGCCGAGAGCCGUGUCCAUGUACGACAAAGCUUUUGGUAGUGGAUCGAGUGAUUUAAUUGCAUUCGAAAACCUACCUAAGUGGAUGAUGCGUAUCAUGU
RNAcentral lists this ribosomal RNA (339 nucleotides) under Seuratia shipleyi. RNAcentral describes it as "partial large subunit ribosomal RNA". Lineage: Eukaryota; Metazoa; Nematoda; Chromadorea; Rhabditida; Acuariidae. The record is from RNAcentral.